Molecule: ribosomal RNA, 595 nt
Filed under: Burkholderia cepacia
Lineage: Bacteria; Pseudomonadati; Pseudomonadota; Betaproteobacteria; Burkholderiales; Burkholderiaceae
Also listed under: 1 other name
Description: bacterial SSU rRNA
Rfam family: Bacterial small subunit ribosomal RNA
Source: RNAcentral
AAACUGAAGAGUUUGAUCCUGGCUCAGAUUGAACGCUGGCGGCAUGCCUUACACAUGCAAGUCGAACGGCAGCACGGGUGCUUGCACCUGGUGGCGAGUGGCGAACGGGUGAGUAAUACAUCGGAACAUGUCCUGUAGUGGGGGAUAGCCCGGCGAAAGCCGGAUUAAUACCGCAUACGAUCUACGGAUGAAAGCGGGGGACCUUCGGGCCUCGCGCUAUAGGGUUGGCCGAUGGCUGAUUAGCUAGUUGGUGGGGUAAAGGCCUACCAAGGCGACGAUCAGUAGCUGGUCUGAGAGGACGACCAGCCACACUGGGACUGAGACACGGCCCAGACUCCUACGGGAGGCAGCAGUGGGGAAUUUUGGACAAUGGGCGAAAGCCUGAUCCAGCAAUGCCGCGUGUGUGAAGAAGGCCUUCGGGUUGUAAAGCACUUUUGUCCGGAAAGAAAUCCUUGGCUCUAAUACAGCCGGGGGAUGACGGUACCGGAAGAAUAAGCACCGGCUAACUACGUGCCAGCAGCCGCGGUAAUACGUAGGGUGCAAGCGUUAAUCGGAAUUACUGGGCGUAAAGCGUGCGCAGGCGGUUUGCUAAGAC